GAAGAGAACAAACGUAAUAUAUCGUCAGGCGCCUAUUUCCCAUUUGGCGAAGGCCCGCGCCAAUGCAUAGGUACUCGUUUGGGAUUAUUGCAAACAAAACUUGGGAUUAUUAAAAUUUUGAGCAAAUACGAAGUGACGCCAUGCGAAAGGACUUUGAUACCAAUGGUAAUUGAUCCAAAAGCUCCUACGACAACACCAUUAAGUGGCGGUCUGUACCUGAACAUCCAGAAAAUUAAUAACGCUAAUUAAAAUUUGAUGAGAGUUAUUACUUUCAAGCUACAAGAUGUACACGAUUCGACUAAUGCUCAGUAAAAUUUUCUUUAAUAGGAGAACGCGAUUCGAUGAACGCGUUAAUUUAUAAGACUUAAGAUUAUCAGAAUAUAUUUAUUAGAAAAUAUAAAACUAUAUUUAAAAAUAUAAAAGAUGUAAAUGAUAUUUAACACUAAGCCCUCAUCAUCAUGAUUCUUUAAUCAUUAAAAUAUAUUCCUUUAAAAAAGA
Molecule: non-coding RNA, 498 nt
Organism: Nylanderia fulva
Lineage: Eukaryota; Metazoa; Arthropoda; Insecta; Hymenoptera; Formicidae
Source: RefSeq, a predicted model, not a curated record